RNAcentral lists this ribosomal RNA (429 nucleotides) under Chloroflexota bacterium. RNAcentral's name for it is "Chloroflexi bacterium partial 16S ribosomal RNA". It matches the Rfam family "Bacterial small subunit ribosomal RNA", at positions 355 to 776 of the family's 1533-position model. The record is from RNAcentral. Lineage: Bacteria; Bacillati; Chloroflexota.
UGGGGAAUAUUGCACAAUGGGCGCAAGCCUGAUGCAGCCAUGCCGCGUGUAUGAAGAAGGCCUUCGGGUUGUAAAGUACUUUCAGUCGGGAGGAAGGUGGUAAGGUUAAUAACCUUAUCAAUUGACGUUACCGACAGAAGAAGCACCGGCUAACUCCGUGCCAGCAGCCGCGGUAAUACGGAGGGUGCAAGCGUUAAUCGGAAUUACUGGGCGUAAAGCGCACGCAGGCGGUUGAUUGAGUCAGAUGUGAAAUCCCCGGGCUUAACCCGGGAAGUGCAUCUGAGACUGGUCAGCGAGAGGCUUGUAGAGGGGGGUAGAAGUCCAUGUGUAGCGGUGAAAUGCGUAGAGAUGUGGAGGAAUACCGGUGGCGAAGGCGGCCCCCUGGACAAAGACUGACGCUCAGGUGCGAAAGCGUGGGGAGCAAACAGG